CUAGCAUAUGACGAUAACCAAGACAGGGACUCUGCAGCGCUCCCGGUUUCAUAUCGGGGGCGCGGAUGAUGCAUCCGUCUAGGGGAAUCUCUGAUGCUAU
This 100-nucleotide small nucleolar RNA is filed under the name Triticum aestivum (bread wheat). RNAcentral's name for it is "snoRNA snoR44_J54". It matches the Rfam family "Small nucleolar RNA R44/J54/Z268 family". Rfam says of the family: R44, J54 and Z268 are members of the C/D class of snoRNA which contain the C (UGAUGA) and D (CUGA) box motifs. Most of the members of the box C/D family function in directing site-specific 2'-O-methylation of substrate RNAs. RNAcentral also lists the same sequence under 1 other name. The record is from Rfam by way of RNAcentral. Lineage: Eukaryota; Viridiplantae; Streptophyta; Magnoliopsida; Poales; Poaceae.